RNAcentral lists this unclassified non-coding RNA (325 nucleotides) under fungal sp. RNAcentral's name for it is "partial internal transcribed spacer region". The stretch from base 1 to 46 matches the Rfam family "Eukaryotic small subunit ribosomal RNA", at positions 1786 to 1831 of the family's 1831-position model. Lineage: Eukaryota; Fungi. The record is from RNAcentral.
AAGUCGUAACAAGGUUUCCGUAGGUGAACCUGCGGAAGGAUCAUUAACACUUUUAUCCAAUAAAAAACUAAACGUGAACUUUUCCCCUCCCUAUAUCAUUUUAUAUGAUAUAGGCUAACCAUUUUAUUUAUUUAAAACCACUUUAACUUUUUUAUAAGUCUUUGUUUGUAACGCCUAACGGCCUACAAAACAAAAAGACUGACUAACUAAAAAUUUUACUUAAGAUGUCAAACAUUAAAUGUUGAUCUCUUAAUUAAUAUUUUUUCUUUACGAAAUAAAUAUUAGUAUAUAAGAACAACUCUUAGCAAUGGAUAUCUUGGUUCUC